UCAUCAUGCCCCUUAUGACCUGGGCUACACACGUGCUACGAAUGGUUGGUACAACGAGUUGCGAGUCGGUGACGGCGAGCUAAUCUCUUAAAGCCAAUCUCAGUUCGGAUUGUAGGCUGCAACUCGCCUACAUGAAGUCGGAAUCGCUAGUAAUCGCGGAUCAGCACGCCGCGGUGAAUACGUUCCCGGGCCUU
Molecule: ribosomal RNA, 194 nt
Filed under: uncultured Streptococcus sp.
Lineage: Bacteria; Bacillati; Bacillota; Bacilli; Lactobacillales; Streptococcaceae
Description: partial 16S ribosomal RNA
Rfam family: Bacterial small subunit ribosomal RNA
Source: RNAcentral